RNAcentral lists this ribosomal RNA (472 nucleotides) under uncultured bacterium. RNAcentral describes it as "partial 16S ribosomal RNA". It matches the Rfam family "Bacterial small subunit ribosomal RNA", at positions 28 to 507 of the family's 1533-position model. The record is from RNAcentral.
GACGAACGCUGGCGGCGUGCUUAACACAUGCAAGUCGAACGCUGAAGCUUGGUGCUUGCACUGGGUGGAUGAGUGGCGAACGGGUGAGUAAUACGUGAGUAACCUGCCCUUGACUCUGGGAUAAGCCUGGGAAACUGGGUCUAAUACUGGAUAUGACAUGCCACUGCAUGGUGGUGUGUGGAAAGGGUUUUACUGGUUUUGGAUGGGCUCACGGCCUAUCAGCUUGUUGGUGGGGUAAUGGCCUACCAAGGCGACGACGGGUAGCCGGCCUGAGAGGGUGACCGGCCACACUGGGACUGAGACACGGCCCAGACUCCUACGGGAGGCAGCAGUGGGGAAUAUUGCACAAUGGGCGGAAGCCUGAUGCAGCGACGCCGCGUGAGGGAUGACGGCCUUCGGGUUGUAAACCUCUUUCAGCACGGAAGAAGCGAGAGUGACGGUACGUGCAGAGGAAGCGCCGGCUAACUACGUG